RNAcentral lists this small RNA (144 nucleotides) under Pseudocitrobacter vendiensis. Its description in RNAcentral is "Glm Y RNA activator of glmS mRNA". It matches the Rfam family "Glm Y RNA activator of glmS mRNA". Rfam says of the family: This family consists of a number of bacterial RNA genes of around 167 bases in length. The function of this RNA is unknown. The record is from RNAcentral. Lineage: Bacteria; Pseudomonadati; Pseudomonadota; Gammaproteobacteria; Enterobacterales; Enterobacteriaceae.
AGUGGCUCAUUCACCUUCUUAUGUCAGCCCCUUCGGGACGUGCUACAUAAACUUCGAAUGACGCACAACAAGGUGCCUGCCGUCCAGCUUCUGAUAUCUUUGCAUAUCAACCAUCGGGCGAAACGUUGAGUUAGGCACCGCCUU